Molecule: long non-coding RNA, 316 nt
Organism: Xenopus laevis (African clawed frog)
Lineage: Eukaryota; Metazoa; Chordata; Amphibia; Anura; Pipidae
Exons: 2
Source: RefSeq, a predicted model, not a curated record
UCUCGGCUAUGAGUCAUAACGUAAACCAACUAAAAUGGCUAGUUUUGGAGGUCGUAUAUAACCCCCCAAGAGGUGGGGAUCUAAAAUUGCGAUUAUCUCAAAGAGAGAUGUACUGGAUUAGAAAGCUUAACACUGUGAACCCUAAAGGGUUAAAUGAAUCCCGGAGUGUAAAAAGCUUCUUGUGAAACGAUGCUAACACUAUUUUUAUGCCUCCUCUCUUCCAGAUAUUGACCCCUUAGCCACACAUUCAGAAUGUUUCAGAAUCCAGUUAUGCACAUUGGUGAUAGUUGAAGGUUGUCUACGAAUAAAAAUUGAA